GGGCCCGUGGUCUAGUUUGGAUUAGGACGUUGGCCUGCGGAGCCGAAGGUCCUGGGUUCAAAUCCCAGCGGGCCCGCCA
Molecule: transfer RNA, 79 nt
Filed under: Candidatus Bathyarchaeota archaeon
Lineage: Archaea; Thermoproteati; Candidatus Bathyarchaeota
Also listed under: 1 other name
Description: tRNA-Arg
Rfam family: tRNA
About the family: Transfer RNA (tRNA) molecules are approximately 80 nucleotides in length.
Source: RNAcentral